Long non-coding RNA from Quercus lobata, 496 nucleotides. RefSeq lists it as uncharacterized. NCBI's taxonomy places the organism in Eukaryota, Viridiplantae, Streptophyta, Magnoliopsida, Fagales, Fagaceae. The transcript has 3 exons. The record is from RefSeq and is a predicted model, not a curated record.
UAAGGGCCUGUUUGGUUUAUUGAUAUCUCAGUUUUCAUAACUCAAAUCCAAAACUCAUAACUCAGUUCUCAAAACUCACAUUCACUCAAAAAUUACAAUGUAUCUGUUUGGACUCAGUUCUCAUUCAAAUAUCUCUACAACUUUUUCCCAAAACCGUGUAUCCCUCCACUGACACUACCCAGUGUUGCUAUUGUUGCUACUUGCGUCUCAUUAACAAAAAAAAACCUUUAAUUGAGCUUCACUUCUCCCACUGAGGGUCACCGUGGAAGCCAUCUUCUUCUUUUACUUCUCCCACUGAAAGAGUCAUCGUGUUCUGCCUCUCACAUCUCGCCUCUUGCCUCCCACAUCAACGCAGCCCACAUCACCGCACGCCCACAACAAAGCAGGAUCUCAACGUCAUCUUCAGCUUUCUCGGCCCUCUCUUCUCUAUUCCAAGCAUUCAUAGUCACAGUUUUGGUUCAUAUACCUACUUGGAAUUAGAGUUUGUAGCUUAAAA